This 565-nucleotide ribosomal RNA is filed under the name uncultured bacterium. RNAcentral describes it as "bacterial SSU rRNA". It matches the Rfam family "Bacterial small subunit ribosomal RNA", at positions 338 to 916 of the family's 1533-position model. RNAcentral also lists the same sequence under 1 other name. The record is from RNAcentral.
CCUACGGGAGGCAGCAGCAGGGAAUAUUGUGCAAUGAGCGAAAGCUUGACACAGCGACACCGCGUGUGGGAUGACGGUUCUAGGAUUGUAAACCACUUUCAGGAGGGAAGAAAAUGACGGUACCUCCACAAGAAGACCCGGCCAACUAUGUGCCAGCAGCCGCGGUAAUACAUAGGGGUCAAGCGUUGUCCGGAUUUAUUGGGCGUAAAGAGCUCGUAGGCGGUUCAACAAGUCGGUCGUAAAAGUUUAGGGCUCAACCCUAAAAUGUCGAUCGAUACUGUUGUGACUAGGAUACGGUAGAGGUGAAUGGAAUUCCGAGUGUAGCGGUGAAAUGCGUAGAUAUUCGGAGGAACACCAAUUGCGAAGGCAGUUCACUGGACCGUGAUCGACGCUGAGGAGCGAAAGCUAGGGGAGCAAACAGGAUUAGAUACCCUGGUAGUCCUAGCUGUAAACGAUGGAUACUAGAUGUAGGAACUGGAUUGACGGUUUCUGUAUCGUAGCUAACGCGUUAAGUAUCCCGCCUGGGGAGUACGGUCGCAAGACUAAAACUCAAAGGAAUUGACGG